AACAUCUUGCUUUGAGAUUACCAACAAUCAGUGCAUAGGCAAGUUUCUCAUAAAAAUAACAUGAUUAACAAAAGUAGAUACAGAGCUUAAGGUUGAGUUUUGCUAUAAGAUGUCGAUUUUAUAAAGCAAAAAUUAUAAAUGAAUUUUCUUGUUGCCUUCAAGAGGGAAAAAGUAAAGUAUGGAGAGGCGAUAACAUAAGUGAUCCUUGAUGAGGUGAAUAUGCACUAAUUAAGCAAAUGCAUACUAUGCCAUGAAUAACCAAAACAUCAAAGGAGACCAAUUAUAAGCCUCAUGUUACCCAGACAAUCAAUAAUAAUGAUUUGCAGGCAAGAAACCAAGCCCAAAAGAAGCAAUUUUGAAAUGUGGUAGAUACUAGAAUUUUGAAGUAGGUUCAAAAUAAAAAUAUAUCACAAAACCUUCGAAGGUCCAGCAGCAUGAAGAAUAUUACAAGCUUCAAGACCAUCUUUUUCAGUCACAAU
This 479-nucleotide unclassified non-coding RNA is filed under the name Hevea brasiliensis (rubber tree). Lineage: Eukaryota; Viridiplantae; Streptophyta; Magnoliopsida; Malpighiales; Euphorbiaceae. The record is from RNAcentral.